Molecule: non-coding RNA, 129 nt
Organism: Caenorhabditis elegans
Lineage: Eukaryota; Metazoa; Nematoda; Chromadorea; Rhabditida; Rhabditidae
Source: Ensembl
GAAUUGAAAAAUCUAAUAUCACUUCCGACGAAUGCGUACUUGGCGCCAAAGCGCGCGCGCGCAUCGAAGGUCAUUAGCUCGCCACCCAUAGCAACAAGAUGUCGAAUCGUUUCGAGGGCGGAGAUACAG